Crotalus tigris (Tiger rattlesnake) is the source of this 226-nucleotide long non-coding RNA. RefSeq lists it as uncharacterized. Lineage: Eukaryota; Metazoa; Chordata; Lepidosauria; Squamata; Viperidae. The transcript has 3 exons. The record is from RefSeq and is a predicted model, not a curated record.
CUGAAACCAAACAUUUGAGGAAUAAAUAGGGAAUUAUAUCCGUUAAGCUUUUUUAUACUGUUUUUGAAAAUUACAGAGAAAUCAAAACAUCUCUGAUGUUCCAGGCUGGGAGCUUCAGAAAAGAAUCUUGGGUGUGGUUUCCUACCACUUUUAGUUAGGAAAAUCCCAAAAGCAACAAACAAGCUGAAAGCAGCAAGCAAGCAAGCAGUAAUACGUUAUUGGAAGA